This 1503-nucleotide ribosomal RNA is filed under the name Salmonella enterica. Its description in RNAcentral is "partial 23S ribosomal RNA". It matches the Rfam family "Bacterial large subunit ribosomal RNA", at positions 1443 to 2925 of the family's 2925-position model. The record is from RNAcentral. Lineage: Bacteria; Pseudomonadati; Pseudomonadota; Gammaproteobacteria; Enterobacterales; Enterobacteriaceae.
CUUGGUGUUACUGCGAAGGGGGGACGGAGAAGGCUAUGUUGGCCGGGCGACGGUUGUCCCGGUUUAAGCGUGUAGGUGUGUGUUCCAGGUAAAUCCGGUUCACUUUAACACUGAGGCGUGACGACGAGGCACUACGGUGCUGAAGCAACAAAUGCCCUGCUUCCAGGAAAAGCCUCUAAGCAUCAGGUAACAUCAAAUCGUACCCCAAACCGACACAGGUGGUCAGGUAGAGAAUACCAAGGCGCUUGAGAGAACUCGGGUGAAGGAACUAGGCAAAAUGGUGCCGUAACUUCGGGAGAAGGCACGCUGACACGUAGGUGAAGUGAUUUACUCAUGGAGCUGAAGUCAGUCGAAGAUACCAGCUGGCUGCAACUGUUUAUUAAAAACACAGCACUGUGCAAACACGAAAGUGGACGUAUACGGUGUGACGCCUGCCCGGUGCCGGAAGGUUAAUUGAUGGGGUCAGCGCAAGCGAAGCUCCUGAUCGAAGCCCCGGUAAACGGCGGCCGUAACUAUAACGGUCCUAAGGUAGCGAAAUUCCUUGUCGGGUAAGUUCCGACCUGCACGAAUGGCGUAAUGAUGGCCAGGCUGUCUCCACCCGAGACUCAGUGAAAUUGAACUCGCUGUGAAGAUGCAGUGUACCCGCGGCAAGACGGAAAGACCCCGUGAACCUUUACUAUAGCUUGACACUGAACAUUGAGCCUUGAUGUGUAGGAUAGGUGGGAGGCUUUGAAGUGUGGACGCCAGUCUGCAUGGAGCCGACCUUGAAAUACCACCCUUUAAUGUUUGAUGUUCUAACGUGGACCCGUAAUCCGGGUUGCGGACAGUGUCUGGUGGGUAGUUUGACUGGGGCGGUCUCCUCCUAAAGAGUAACGGAGGAGCACGAAGGUUGGCUAAUCCUGGUCGGACAUCAGGAGGUUAGUGCAAUGGCAUAAGCCAGCUUGACUGCGAGCGUGACGGCGCGAGCAGGUGCGAAAGCAGGUCAUAGUGAUCCGGUGGUUCUGAAUGGAAGGGCCAUCGCUCAACGGAUAAAAGGUACUCCGGGGAUAACAGGCUGAUACCGCCCAAGAGUUCAUAUCGACGGCGGUGUUUGGCACCUCGAUGUCGGCUCAUCACAUCCUGGGGCUGAAGUAGGUCCCAAGGGUAUGGCUGUUCGCCAUUUAAAGUGGUACGCGAGCUGGGUUUAGAACGUCGUGAGACAGUUCGGUCCCUAUCUGCCGUGGGCGCUGGAGAACUGAGGGGGGCUGCUCCUAGUACGAGAGGACCGGAGUGGACGCAUCACUGGUGUUCGGGUUGUCAUGCCAAUGGCACUGCCCGGUAGCUAAAUGCGGAAGAGAUAAGUGCUGAAAGCAUCUAAGCACGAAACUUGCCCCGAGAUGAGUUCUCCCUGAGACUUAGAGUCUCCUGAAGGAACGUUGAAGACGACGACGUUGAUAGGCCGGGUGUGUAAGCGCAGCGAUGCGUUGAGCUAACCGGUACUAAUGAACCGUGAGGCUUAACCUU